RNAcentral lists this ribosomal RNA (162 nucleotides) under Nephelium ramboutan-ake. RNAcentral describes it as "5.8S ribosomal RNA". It matches the Rfam family "5.8S ribosomal RNA". From Rfam's summary of the family: 5.8S ribosomal RNA (5.8S rRNA) is a component of the large subunit of the eukaryotic ribosome. It is transcribed by RNA polymerase I as part of the 45S precursor that also contains 18S and 28S rRNA. RNAcentral also lists the same sequence under 1 other name. Lineage: Eukaryota; Viridiplantae; Streptophyta; Magnoliopsida; Sapindales; Sapindaceae. The record is from RNAcentral.
UAACGACUCUCGGCAACGGAUAUCUCGGCUCUCGCAUCGAUGAAGAACGUAGCGAAAUGCGAUACUUGGUGUGAAUUGCAGAAUCCCGUGAACCAUCGAGUCUUUGAACGCAAGUUGCGCCCCAGGCCUUUAGGCCGAGGGCACGUCUGCCUGGGUGUCACG